Molecule: long non-coding RNA, 2323 nt
Organism: Culex pipiens pallens (northern house mosquito)
Lineage: Eukaryota; Metazoa; Arthropoda; Insecta; Diptera; Culicidae
Exons: 3
Source: RefSeq, a predicted model, not a curated record
CACGUCGUACGAGUUGUCGCACGGUUGUGAUUUUACCGUUUUGAUAUCGAUUGGUCGAAAGGACGACAAACGGACGACAAACACUCGACAUGCUCGACAUGGUUUUUUUCAAUCGAUUUACCUUCAAUUCGACGUCGAUUAUCGUCGACGCAAACAGUUUGACAGUUCUCUUCUGUUGAUCUUGUUCGGACUUGAUUGCAACCGAGUCGAACCAGUUGUUGUUGCUUUUAGGCUUUUGGAGGAUUUUGGACAGUUAAUAGGCCGGAGUGGGCGAGCGACCGAAUCAAAGUGUCUUGUAUUCCAGAUUUCGGUCUUCGUGGCGGAGGAGGAGGAGGACGGGAAAUAUGGUUUACUCGGCGGGCCAUUCCGGAAGACGGGACGGGAAGGAACCAAUUUGCGAUCGUGGAAGCGGUUGGUGUUUGGUGUUUGGUGUUUUACCGUCCGCGGGAGGUUGCGACGCAUACCUAAUGGAACUGGCAACAAACAUAUUCCAAUCUGAUUCUGCCGGAAACCGAAAUGCGUUCCCGUGUGGUCACUCGUGGCUUCCGUAGAAUCCACGGAAGCAGCCCCGUUUUUUUCGUACUCGUACUCCACAAAACCCACGUUUCCUAGUACUCCGGUAAACAUCAAUCCGUCGGAGAUCCAAGAUCGUCGCCAAGGCGUCGCAUCCGGGUUUUGAUCAGCUCGUCGAGGAACAAAAGUCCAACUCUACCAAGAUGCUGCCACGGCCGCCUCAGAAGAACACCAACACCCAAGCCGGAAGCUGCGGUCAAGGCAAAUCCAGAAGGAAGCCAAGUUGGGGAAGAAUCGGCGAUCCGCAAGUAAAAUUAAGUGUACAAUUAAUAUUUUUGUGAAAUUUUGACAGCUGGAAUAAAAAAAAACAAUAAAAACAAAACAACAGUUUUUUCAACUGCAACAUAACCCAAAAAUCCGAAAUGACAGCACACGACAAUAGCACGACAUUCUAAAUAACAAAACCGUGCGACGUCGGUCGAAUGUCGUACGACAAUGUCGUACAAUUUCGAUUAUCGAUCGCACGACAAAUACGACAUUUUGGUGCAAAAACGUUUGACAUUCGUGCGAUAGUCGCGCGACAUUGUCGUGCGACGUCGUACGAUUGCACGGACGACAAACGACGGACGUCCGACGGACUUUUCAGUCAGGGUAGGUUUUACUGUUUGUGAUUGAAUUACGGUGAUGGUGUUUCGGAUGGAUUCGGAACGAGUGCUGUGAAACUUGUGGACCACAUUGGUUUAGGGCUGGACCACAUUGGUCCUCGGCACCCGUUUGCGAGGAUACCUUUCAAGACGCCAAGAUUGACUCCCUUGCUGGUAUCCCGAACGGCAUCCGUGAGUCUUCUGAGCGAUCACGAAGGAGCAGGAUAGAUUUGGGACCAAAAACCAGUUCCAGCAAACAUCCCUGAUUGAUACACGGAUCAAUAAGUUGCUUUCGGUGCGGCUAAUCCAGCUGUAUUUGGAAAGUCGGCGAUCCAGACCUUUCCGGAAUGGUCAAGGCAACUUUCAUAGGGAACCUUUGUUGGCGAAGCUGGAAACAGACUCGGUUUUGCGUGGAUUUCUUUGGAAAAGGCGGAGCAUCUCGCAGCAUGUUUUGUUUGUAUGAUAACAAGUUGUAUUCUGGAGCAACAUUAGAAAGGGACGGUACGAAAUUGCUCUUACAACCUUCUUCCCAUUUGAACACAUGAGAAGAAAUGCCGUAAGAGCAAUGUCGUACUGCCCCCUUCAAAUGUUGCAUGUUUUUUUAUUUACAUUUUUUUAUUUAGUGUGUUUUCUUUUUUUCAGGUUUAACCCAAGAACAACAAGAUCACCAGAUGAACUCUCGGUUAUCCGACGUUGCACGACUGUGCCGUUUUCCUUCAGAACAAUCUGCAGAACCGACUGCUGAAAUAACCUGGGACCCCACCAUCCGACCAAUGAUUUCCAAAGGAUGGUGGAGAUGGAGCUGAUCGUGCUGUACAGCUUCGGUCAACUCUCUACCGCAGUGGAUGCCUCCCUGAACUGUGUGUUUUCUUCUUCUGUAUAAGUUAAUUCUAAAAUUUGUUGUACUAUUUUCUCUUCAGUUUAAUUUGUUGCUGAUUUAGAAUCCCGCAAACUCUCCAUCAUGUUUGAAUUUAAAAUUCCCAUAUCAUUAGGCCAAUUCAGACAAAAAUAUAAUAUAUAUCAAAUAAAAUGAAAAAAAUAAAUAAGCUGUUUGACCAAAGCAAAAUUAAUGUUUUCUAGCUCAAAAUUCCGAAAAUCCUUGAAAAAAUGAUGUUUAUUCGAAUUGUUACAACUGUUCCCCAAAAUGUAAUGUGCCAUGAAAAAUC